Molecule: transfer RNA, 83 nt
Filed under: Pseudomonadota bacterium
Lineage: Bacteria; Pseudomonadati; Pseudomonadota
Also listed under: 1 other name
Description: tRNA-Tyr
Rfam family: tRNA
About the family: Transfer RNA (tRNA) molecules are approximately 80 nucleotides in length. Their secondary structure includes four short double-helical elements and three loops (D, anti-codon, and T loops). Further hydrogen bonds mediate the characteristic L-shaped molecular structure. tRNAs have two regions of fundamental functional importance: the anti-codon, which is responsible for specific mRNA codon recognition, and the 3' end, to which the tRNAs corresponding amino acid is attached (by aminoacyl-tRNA synthetases). tRNAs cope with the degeneracy of the genetic code in two manners: having more than one tRNA (with a specific anti-codon) for a particular amino acid; and 'wobble' base-pairing, i.e. permitting non-standard base-pairing at the 3rd anti-codon position.
Source: RNAcentral
GGGUGGAUGGCCGAGCGGUCAAUGGCAGCAGACUGUAAAUCUGCCCUCUUCGGAGUUCGAAGGUUCGAAUCCUUCUCCGCCCA